Molecule: long non-coding RNA, 353 nt
Filed under: Malus domestica (apple)
Lineage: Eukaryota; Viridiplantae; Streptophyta; Magnoliopsida; Rosales; Rosaceae
Description: long non-coding RNA (MDOM_LNC011862)
Source: RNAcentral
CAUCUAAUUCUCCGUUCUUUUGCAAGAUAGAUCCUAGGUAACGAACACAGUAAGGAAAAGAAUAAACCAUAAGGAAAGAUUCAACACUUUAGAUAUAUACAUAUAUUUUCAAAUUCUAGUUUCUAGAGCAACCCUAAAGUCCAAAGUAAGGAAAAGAAUAAACCAUAAGGAAAGGUCCUAGAACUUUUUACUUGUAAGUAGAACUUUUUACAGUAAGGAAAAGAAUAAACCAUAAGGAAAGAUUCAACACUUUAGAUAUAUACAUAUAUUUUCAAAUUCUAGAGCAACCCUAAAGUCCAAAGUAAAGGUCCUAGAACUUUUUACUUGUAAGUAGAUUUUCUAUGUGAAUAAUU